RNAcentral lists this long non-coding RNA (5377 nucleotides) under Lactuca sativa (garden lettuce). RNAcentral's name for it is "long non-coding RNA (LSAT_LNC002521)". The record is from RNAcentral. Lineage: Eukaryota; Viridiplantae; Streptophyta; Magnoliopsida; Asterales; Asteraceae.
ACCUGUCGAAGUUUCGCGACAGAACCGGCACGACACAUCGCGACGUAAAAAGUGAAUUUACGUUGGAGCGAUAUUUAGCCUUAGCGAUCUAAACGAGAAUCGAAGAUCCUGUUGUUAGUAGCGAAACGACGAAAAGUUAGGCGAGAACGGACGUCAAACAAAGAAGUUAUGAAUUUAUAACGAAGUUUUUCUGUCGCGGCCUAUUAAAAAUAAAUAAUAAAAAUAAAGUCGAAAUUAGCCGACGGAGUCUAAACGAAAGUUGUAGAGCGUAGUCUCACCUUUGUGUGGAUAUAAAGAAUGUUGAAAACGGAGUUCGUAUGAAGAAGAUAUGAAUUUCCAAAGUUUAUUAAAUAAAUUUUAUUUAUUUUUAAUCUUUUAAUCGGAAGCAUUAUCCGAAGGAGUCACCGGUCUGAUCCGAGGUACGCGCCGCGUACUCGAGUACGCCCCGCGUACUCCGAAGGUGUCGACAUCUCAGCAAGUGGCUUCGGAUACGUAAGCAGUGACGUUUCUCGGACCAGUACGCCCCGCGUACGUGCGAGACUCAGCCCCUAUAAAAGGCUUGCGAGGGCAGCCGAGAGUUUUGUUCAUUUCUUCUCUUCUUUCUCCCGUUUUGCAUCGUUUUGCGUGCCAGAAAUACCCCGAAGCCCCGGUAUUAUUCUCUAGCCCCGAGGCAAGUCCCGAGAUCCCGAAGAUCCCGAGAAGUGCGGUUCCCGAGUCGAAGCUCUGCCCGCGAGAAGUUCGAUUUUUGUAGAGAUCUUCCAGAUCUGCUGAGGAUUUCUACUUCUGCAAGUCGUAGUGCUGUCCGAUCAUCUUCUGAUCAAGUGAGUGUAUACUACCUUUCAUAAACACAAUAAUAAUACGAGUUUGGUUUGAGUGUAUUAAGAGUAUUGUUGUUUAUAAGUGUGAAUGUGUAGUUAUUUUCUUCUAACGCAUAAUUAUUAAGUAUUUUCGUUGAAAUACGUGCUACGUGGAUAAUAUAAAGUUGUUUAUAUGGAUGGAUGUAUAGUCCCUUUCAUAAACACGGGUAUAAUACAAGUAUUGUUUGAAUGUAUUAAGUGUACGUUUGGCAGAGUGUAUGGUUACUUUCUUCUAACACAUAAAUAUGAAGUAUUUGGUAUAAAAUACGUGCUAUGUGUUUAUAUAUUGUUGUUUAUUUGAGAUGAGUAUGGCAUGAAUGUUUUAUAUAGUUUUAAAAUGAGAUAAACUGUAUGUGUAUUCUAGAUCUACAAAUAUGUUGGGUAGAACAUGGGUAGAUGAGAUAGUUGGUAUGUGAUGAAAUGAUGAGGUAUGAAAGAUGAUUAAGAAUGAUAUUGGUAGAUGCACCAAUUAAAGAAUGUCAUAAGACUAGCAGAUGUGCUGUAGAAUAAUAUCGGUAGAUGCACCAAGUAGUGAAUGUCGUAAUCCUAGCAGAUGCGCUUAUAGGAUAAUGUCGGCAGAUGCGCCAAAUAGAGAUUGUCAUAAUAAAAGCAGAUGCGCUUAUAGAGUGAUCCUAGCAGAUGCGCUUAUAGGAUAUUGUUGGCAGAUGCGCCAAAUAAAGAUUGUCAUAAUAAUAGCGGAUGCGCUUAUAGGGUAAUCUUGGCAGAUGCGCUUAUAAGAUAAUGUCGGCGGAUGCGCCUAAAAGAGAAUGUCAUAAACCUGGCAAUCGCGCCUCAUAGUGUAUGACGUAAUCCUGGCAGAGGCGCUUAAAGGAUAAUGUUGGCAGAUGCGCCUUAUGUAGCAAUGGAAGUUUGUGUAAAUCCCUUAGGUCAAUCCUUAGGAAUGAAGGAAUGACGAGUAGUUGAAUUCCUAGGGUAAAAUCCUAAGAAACAUAAUAGGGAUGAAUAAUUGAGUUGAUUGUUUGAUGGUUGAAUAUAAUAAUUGUAUUAUUGUGGGUUGAAAACCCUAUAUGCUCACCAGGCUCCCAAGCCUGACCCACUCAGUUUUCUUUGCAUUACAGGUAAUGGCACAAGAGUAUAAGUUGGUGGACUUGACGAGAGAUUUUGGAUUAUAGGCCAGUAGUUAUGAAUAACUGUUGUAAGGUCUAUUUAUUAUUGUUUAUGCUUUUGGUCUGUAUCGGAACAUGACAUCCCGAGGUUUUAUUAUUUAAUGAAAAUACAUUCUCUUUGAGAAACGUUUUAAAAAAUGGUUAUCAUAUUUUAUUUUGGGAACAAAUUCCGCAACCGUUUUCUUUAAACGAUCACUCUGAUUUAUAAAACAAAGCAUAAACAAAUCGGUCUUUUCUGGCCGUGAAAAUGGGGAUGUCACAGUUGGUAUCAGAGCAUUAGUUUAAGCGAACUAGGAAUUUGUAGGAAAUUUCUAGACUUAAACUUAGAAUGCUAAGUAAUGAUUGUGAGGAGUGUGUCUAAAAUAUGUUAGGUAGUACACCUAAAUUGACACAAGCACUAGUUCAUUUUAGGAAUGAUGCCUAAAAUGCUUUUAUGUGCUAAAUGUUUUGUGUGAUAGCUAUAUUGAUGCUAUUAUUUGUUCGGAUCUAUGGUCUAUUGCCGACCAGAUCUGGAAACCUUAUGUGUUUAGGAUUCUAAGCGUACGUCUACGAUAUUAGAACUAGCAUGUAAACGUUUCGGAGUGAUAAGGAUGAUUUGAAUAUCUAUCGUGAAUAAGGAUCUAAUUUCACCUUAUUGGGUGUGUAGAUCAAAAAUGGUGAGAACAAGAAGUGGGGUUGGAAAUGCUGAUGAAAACAGGAAUCAACCACCUGUGGUUGAGCAAGCACCUGUUGUAGCAGCAGCACCAGAGCCGAUGACAAUGGCUGGGGUGCAAGCGAUGAUACAGAUGAUGUUGGAUCGCCAAAUGGAGGAGACAAGGCGAUUACUCCAACAGAAUCGGGAGGAAGUGUCAUUUCAAGUGGAAGAGCCUGAAGUGAAUGGAGGGCAUUCAGAGGGAGGUAACUACAGUGGGACGGUUGGACGAGCAAAACCCCUAGUAGUAGAAAGGAAUGACCCAGAGAGGGAAAAAAACAGGGAUGGGCGUAUGUAUAAAAAUUUCUUGGGCGCCAAACCGCCAAGUCUUUCUGGAAGCCCAAAGCCUGUUGAGAUUAUGGACUGGAUCUCCGAAAUGGAGAUGGUGUUUGAGAGUUGCGACUGUAGCAACAAACAGAAGACUGUCUUUGCAGUUAGACAACUAAAGACCGGAGUCUUGAGCUGGUGGAAGUUACUGGCAGAUAUGAUGCCUCGAGGGGAAGCCCUGAAGAUGUCUUGGGAAUCAUUCCUGGAGCAGUUAAAGAUGCAGUACUGCUCAGAGAUAGAUCUGAUUGAUCUGAACAAUGAAUUCCAGAACAUGAAGAAAGGUAAAUUGAGCAUUGAUGAUUAUGCUACUACAUUUACCGAAAAGAUGAAGUUAUUUCCAUACUUAGUGCCAUCUGAACUCUCAAAAAUUGAGAGGUUCGCAAAUGGACUGCCUGCCGACUUUGGCCCAACGGUCAAGAUGGCAACUACUUUGAAGACAGCAGUCCGAGCAGCUAAAAAUGUGGAGACCCAGUUAAAGGAAAGGGGUCUGGAGAGAAACGAGGUGGGUGAGAAAAGAAAGAUGGAAGGAUCUUCAAGGUCCGAUGAGAAGAGAAAAUUUUCGAAGUAUGAUUCGAAGAAGCUCGAGGGAGGAGCACAAUGGUGUGACAAGUGCAAAAGGAAGCACAUUGGUGAAUGCUCUAAAGAAAUGACCUGCUUUAAAUGCGGGAAGACUGGUCAUUACGCCAGCAAAUGCCCAACCAAAAGAGAAGUCUGCUUUAAGUGUGGCGAAGAAGGGCACUUCAAGCAAAACUGCCCAAGAAGAGAAGAGGCUAUAAGGCCAAAUGCACCACCAAAGCCAAAAGCAUUCCACAUGAUCCUUGAUGAAGCAGAUGGCAAUGCAAGGAAUCAGGAAUGAGGAUUUUAUAUCCAAAGAUCAAGUUAUAAAGUAGCGAUAUGAAAAGUAACAUGUGGUGUAGCCUACUAGAGGCGUAGUAUAGGGUGAACUUGAACCUUUGUGUAAUCGUUUCAAGAAAUAAUAUAAACCCUAGUUUUGCUAUCUGAUGUGUUGAAUGAUUAUGUGAUUUUCUUGUAUGGUGACUUGGUCGACUGCGGGACAAUACUUGGGACGAGUAUGAGUAGGUGUGAAAGGUAGUAGAUGCAUAUACUACCGGAAGCACAGGACUCGCACUUGGAUCAGGGAAAGUCACAAGGUUACCAAGAAGCUAGUGAUCGAUUCCAUUUUAUUCUGGUAUGUCAUUACCAUUGUUUCGGUAAUGACUAGUAAGGUGGUUCUUGUUCCGACCCUAGUGGUCAUGUUUAAAUUGAGUCCGACUACGAGGAGUUUGUUCCAUGGUUCAUGGAACCAAGUUAGAUGUAACAUCUGAAUUAAGUCAGAAGGUUGAAGUUAAUGCGAUUGAUAGUGUCGCGCUCGUUGUUAAAAGAAGUUCGCAUAUAGAAAUGCUACAUGCUGAAAUGUGAUUAAAUCACACUAGAAUAUGAAGGAAGGAAUAUUCCAUUCUGGAAUUUAACUUUAUUAAAGACCGAGUCUAAGCGUCGCAUCGUGCGAUGAGAGCUCAUUAGAACACGACCCAUCGGUUUGUUACAAUAGAUAAAGGAAAGUAUUUAUCCUGAGAAGAAGAAGGAGUCCACAAUGAGAACUUAUUUGGUAACUUGAAGGUUACGAUUGAAAGUACAACAUAGUACGAUAAGCAGAUGCAAGAUUUGGCAUCUUCUGCGGUCAAGAAAGCCAUAGAGUUAAAUACUCUUUCGAGGAAACAUAGAAUUUACGGUUAUUACCUAGGAUGAAGAGAUAACGUGUAGAAUCAUUAUGCAAGUCCUAUUUCGUUGAUGAUUCCGGGCGUGUUCAUCCUAAGGGGGAGAUAAUUGUAACGCCCGUAGAUCAGGGCUAGUCAAUUUAGAGGCGAUAGACGUCAAAAAUGGCUUUUUGAAGGAAGAUUAUCUAGAAGGAUUAAUCUUAACCCAGUUGUAGUAUAUGUCACAAGGUUUCCGUGCAUAUAAAGAACGCCAAAAUCCGAGUUAUAACGAAGAAGUUAUGACCUGUCGAAGUUUCGCGACAGAACCGGCACGACACAGUGUGACGUAAAAAGUGAAUUUACGUUGGAGCGAUAUUUAGCCUUAGCGAUCUAAACGAGAAUCGAAUAUCCUUUUGUUAGUAGCGAAACAACGAAAAGUUAGGCAAGAACGGACGUCAAACGAAGAAGUUAUGAAUUUAUAACGAAGUUUUUCUGUCGCGGCCUAUUAAAAAUAAAUAAUAAAAAUAAAGUCGAAAUUAGCCGACGGAGUCUAAACGAAAGUUGUAGAGCGUAGUCUCACCUUCGUGUGGAUAUAAAGAACGUCGAAAACGGAGUUCGUAUGAAGAAGAUAUGAAUUUCCGAAGUUUAUUAAAUAAUUUGUAUUUAUUUUUAAUCUUUAAU